This 497-nucleotide ribosomal RNA is filed under the name uncultured bacterium. RNAcentral describes it as "partial 16S ribosomal RNA". It matches the Rfam family "Bacterial small subunit ribosomal RNA", at positions 28 to 507 of the family's 1533-position model. The record is from RNAcentral.
GAUGAACGCUGGCGGCGUGCCUAAUACAUGCAAGUCGAGCGAACAGACGAGGAGCUUGCUCCUCUGACGUUAGCGGCGGACGGGUGAGUAACACGUGGAUAACCUACCUAUAAGACUGGGAUAACUUCGGGAAACCGGAGCUAAUACCGGAUAAUAUAUUGAACCGCAUGGUUCAAUAGUGAAAGACGGUUUUGCUGUCACUUAUAGAUGGAUCCGCGCCGCAUUAGCUAGUUGGUAAGGUAACGGCUUACCAAGGCAACGAUGCGUAGCCGACCUGAGAGGGUGAUCGGCCACACUGGACCUGAGACACGGUCCAGACUCAUACGGGAGGCAGCAGUAGGGAAUCUUCCGCAAUGGGCGAAAGCCUGACGGAGCAACGCCGCGUGAGUGAUGAAGGUCUUCGGAUCGUAAAACUCUGUUAUUAGGGAAGAACAAAUGUGUAAGUAACUAUGCACGUCUUGACGGUACCUACUCAGAAAGCCACGGCUAAGUACGUG